GUAGGUGGCAAGCGUUGUCCGGAAUUAUUGGGCGUAAAGCGCGCGCAGGCGGUUCUUUAAGUCUGAUGUGAAAGCCCACGGCUCAACCGUGGAGGGUCAUUGGAAACUGGAGAACUUGAGUACAGAAGAGGAAAGCGGAAUUCCACGUGUAGCGGUGAAAUGCGUAGAGAUGUGGAGGAACACCAGUGGCGAAGGCGGCUUUCUGGUCUGUAACUGACGCUGAGGCGCGAAAGCGUGGGGAGCAAACAGGAUUAGAUACCCUGGUAGUCCACGCCGUAAACGAUGAGUGCUAAGUGUUAGGGGGGUUUCCGCCCCCCUUAGUGCUGCAGCUAACGCAUUAAGCAUCCGCCUGGGAGUACGGCCGCAAGGCUG
This 372-nucleotide ribosomal RNA is filed under the name uncultured organism. Its description in RNAcentral is "partial 16S ribosomal RNA". It matches the Rfam family "Bacterial small subunit ribosomal RNA", at positions 527 to 896 of the family's 1533-position model. The record is from RNAcentral.